Molecule: long non-coding RNA, 2701 nt
Organism: Salvelinus fontinalis (brook trout)
Lineage: Eukaryota; Metazoa; Chordata; Actinopteri; Salmoniformes; Salmonidae
Exons: 6
Source: RefSeq, a predicted model, not a curated record
AGUGUGGGUAUAUAUAUAUAGAAAACGUUGACUGCAAUGGGCCUUUAAUCUAACCAUGAUUGCGUUCUGACCCCAGUGCAGCUCAAUGUAAACAAGCGCAACGUUAGAAUCUUCUGGCUAACAGUAAGGUUAGCUGUAUUGUUCGCAACUUAUGUCACAUUUACUUUGUACUGACAAGUUGUCUACAAGAGUUAGCUAACGUGGUCAGAACGAACAUAUUGGAGGAAACUAGCCAGCUAAAUUUAGAAAAUGUAGCAAGCCAACUAACGUUCGCAAGCUAGCUUAGCUGGCUAAAUAGCUAGCUAGCUUCUAUGACGCCUUAAACGUGACCUUUCCUUUUAUCAACCACCAAACGCAGUUUAUUUUGUGGAGUAAAGUUACAUUUUGGUUGUCAGUGUGUGAUGAGGAUAAGUUGACUCAUAAUGAGUUCCUCGGGGAGUCUCGCGUUCCCCUGAAGCGUAUCAAGCCAGACCAGACCAAACACUUCCACACCUGUCUGGAACACUCACCCCCACUACCCUCUCCAACCACCACAGGGACAGUCGAGGAAUCUCCUGCUACUUAAGAGAGAUAUCUGAAGCCCAACACACGGAAGAAAUCCAAACGCAAGACGUCUGUGAUUAAAAAGACCCGUAACCCUGAAUUCAAUGAGGAGUUAUUUUAUGAGAUCUCCAUGUCAGAGCUGUCCAAUAAGACUCUGGAGGUCACUGUCUGGGACUACGACUUGGGACGAUCCAAUGACUUCAUAAGUGGAGUGUGCCUGAGCUGUCACUCACAGGGAGACCCCCUCCGCCAUUGGAUGGACUGCCUUAAGAACAAGGGUCAGAGUGUGGAGCGCUGGCACAUACUGACCAAUGAGCUCCCAAGAUCCGUAAGUCAUGAAUAAGGCCACACAUCUACUGUGACACAAGGCGGAGUCCCAAUUCUUCAUCCUUCUCCCAAAGUUGCACACUUCCAGUCAUGGAUAUAUCAACGGUGGAAACUCCUUCAAGGCAAGUGUGGAGAAUUUGACACAGAUCAAAUCAUCCCUCUAGCUCCCUACCACCUAGGAAUUCCUAUAGAUCUGAGAGGAUUGGAUAGACCAAAAAUAUGGGGGAAAUUCCACCUAGCUUAUCAUAACGCAAAGGGGAAGCCAUGACCAUAUUGAUCUGGAUCCUAUUGAAACCUUUCAGAUCUACUGUAGUGCCUAAGUGGUAGGGGUUAUGGGUCGAUUUGGAACUCAGCGAAGUUGAAGCAUUUCUAAGCGCUCUCUAGAGCCCUGUUGAUACCUGGUUGUAACAUGCGUCCAUCUUCCUGAUAUUUUCCUUAUCUUAUCUGUCUAGACCUAUUCCACAUUCAGAUAGCAAUGCGUCUUUUAAUCGUCUACACCCGUCUAAAAAUGUGGGCACAAUCCAAAUGUGGACAGGAUCAGGACAAAGGACACAUGUUAGCAGCAGGUAUAAAUGGGGAUGACUUGCCACAGGAUGGGAUGCACUACCCGUAUGUUUCUAUGUCUAUAAAGGUGAUUCAAACCUACACACCAUGGAAAUGAUACAUGCUGAAUAAAAGUCAUACACAAUACAAGGCCUGGAUGUUAUGAAGCACAACUAUUUUAUGCUCUGGAAUAGACUAGUGGUGUAGAUGAUCCCUCCAAGUUAGAUUAGAGUUUCUUUGAUUAUUUGAAUCGGUUGAGUCGGGGUCAACUGGGGGUCCCGAGGACCGAUUUUGUGAAACGCUGAGUUAGAUGGAGAUGUUGGUCAGUGGGAUGGGGAAUGCGGUUUAUGUUGCCUUACGGCCUCUUGUCACUAAUGUUGCCAUUCACAACUCAACAUCAUACUUCCAAUUUUUUAUGAUUUCAUCUACACGUUUUAGUCCACGGGCUUUUUUACUUCUCUUGUUCAGCUGAUUUGAUUGAAUUCCAUAUAUUUCAUGGUGAUUUUAAUAACAAAUUGAUAUCUAUGUUGGUAAUAAUAUGCCUAUUCUACACAAAUACCGGCACACAAAUAUCUAACAUCAGAUAUCCUGUUUGUAUUGUUGACAUUUUAACCCAAAUGGAACCCUAUUCCCUACAUUAUGCACUACUUUUGACCAAAGCCCUAUGGGCCUUGGUCAAAAGUAGUGCACUACAUAGGGAAUAAGGGGCAAUUUGGGACAAAUACAUUCACUGCAUCCCAAACAUGACAUACACUGAUAAUAUUAUGAAUACAUAAAUUCUUCCAUGUGUUUGCAUGAUGCAACACAGAAUUUACUAAAAAAAAAUGGUCCCCUCCCUUAUAUUACUAUACCCUGCCUCAAAAAAGUAUUUGAUAAAAAAAUGAUUAUUACUUUAUUAUUGAGGUGUUUUCCCUGUAUUGUUAUUUUAUGUAAUGCUUCUUAUAUCUGUCUCUUAAUGCACAACUGAAUGUGUGAAUGUCAGUUUUUACUGACCUUUCAAUGGCUGUAUUCGAUUAUCUUGUUCUGCUUUUAACAAUUGUUGUUCUUACAUUUAUAUCAGGUGUUUUGUGUACAAUAUGAAAAUACAUUUGGAAUGCACUACUGUAUAAGUCUGACUUGGUUUCUAUUUUGUGAAAUGGCUUGGCUGAGGGAAAUCCAGUACUCACUCAGUACUAUUGAACAGUAAAAUAGCUCACUCCUACCCCCUGGUGGUUCAAUUUCACAUUUGAGUAAUUUAGCAAACCCUCUGACCAUGUUCAACGGUCCUUGCUAUCCUGCAUCCUUCAGA